UACGGAGGGUGCGAGCGUUGUCCGGAAUCACUGGGCGUAAAGGGCGCGUAGGUGGCGUCGCAAGUCAACGGUGAAAGCUCGACGCUCAACGUCGAGUCGGCCGUCGAGACUGCGAGGCUUGAGCACUGUAGAGGCAGAUGGAAUUCCGGGUGUAGCGGUGGAAUGCGUAGAGAUGCGGAGGAACACCGAUGGCGAAGGCAGCCCCCUGGGCUAACACUGACGCUCAGGCACGAAAGCGUGGGGAGCAAACAGG
This 253-nucleotide ribosomal RNA is filed under the name uncultured bacterium. Its description in RNAcentral is "partial 16S ribosomal RNA". It matches the Rfam family "Bacterial small subunit ribosomal RNA", at positions 524 to 776 of the family's 1533-position model. The record is from RNAcentral.